GUGUCUGUAGCUCAAUGGUAGAGCCUCCCGCUGUGACCGGGACGACGACGGGUCAGAACCGUCCAGACACC
Molecule: transfer RNA, 71 nt
Filed under: Mycobacterium phage Wildcat
Lineage: Duplodnaviria; Heunggongvirae; Uroviricota; Caudoviricetes; Vilmaviridae
Rfam family: tRNA
About the family: Transfer RNA (tRNA) molecules are approximately 80 nucleotides in length. Their secondary structure includes four short double-helical elements and three loops (D, anti-codon, and T loops).
Source: Rfam by way of RNAcentral